AUAAUCUCACAAACAACACACACACUCAUAAACCCAUAUACUCCUAUGCACUAUAUAUACCUAUAUACAUAGACAACAUAGAGAGAAGCGAUGAACAGAGAGAAAAAAUGGGGGAAAGAGAGAAAUAUAUACACAAAAACACAAAAAAAAAGAAAAAAGAUACAAACAAAGAGAAAUAAAAAUAACGAAAGAGAGAGAGACUGAGGAAGAAAAAGGAGAUUAGAGAGAAAAAAUGAAGGGGGGGGGGGGGAAUGACAACGAGUUGAGAAAAUCACCCCAGUUCUAAUUUUAAUGGAAUUUCAUCAGAAAAACCCAUCUCAUCGAAAAAUGACAACCAGCCCUACCCCUUCCUUUGAUUUCUCCAUUAACAACCAAGAAUCCAAAAAAAAAAGCAACCAAAAUAGGCUCAAAAUCGACCCAUUCCAGUUUUUGGUGAAAUCUAAUGGAAAAUGACCAAAAAUCAAAUAUUGUCAAAUCCCCAUCAAACCAGCACUAAAACCUACCAAUGAAUCAAUCAAAAAAUCUACCUAAACCUAUGUUUCUUCUUUGUUAUUUUUAAAUAGUCCCAAAACAUUGAGAAAACAGAGGUUGGGAGUGGGUUUUUCAUCGUUGAGAUUUGUUGGUUUUCAAGCUCCAAUUUUUCUCAAACAAAAAAAUUACAAUCAUUAAAAUUCAGAGAUAUUGAGGUCCAUUUCUAAUUCUCGCAUCUUUAUUAUUGUAUAAUUGUUUCGACGUGAAUUUUAUUGGAAUGAAUUUGUUAAUGAUUUGAAUUUCAUUUGUCCUAUUUGAUUCGUAUGAAUAAAUUCAAUGUUAUUGUCUUUGGUGUUUGGUAUUAUGGCUUCCAUGGUUCAUUAGGAUGAAAAAUAAAUUAGAUAAGUCAAAUAAUUCAUGUUUGGUUAAUUGGAAUUAAGUGGAGAUUUGAAAAUUGAUAAAAAUGGAUAUGAUCGGCUAGCUUUGAUUUGUUGGUUGUUGAUUAAUUUGGAUUAGUGUUAAGUUUGUGCUCAUUUCAAAGUAGUCUGUUUAGGCCAAAUUUGAUAGGCAAAUGGUAGGUUGGGUAAUCAAAUUGUAGAAAUCGAUAAUUGUUGAAUGAUUGAAUUACAUUGUUUGGGUUUGUUUUAAUUUACCGCAUUCAUUCAAAUGUAUUUAUUUUAUUGCAGAAUUCCUUGAGGUAUUAUGUACUUAUUCACAGGAGAAUGCCCUGUUGUAAUAUGUACACAGAGCAUGUUUAUGAUCAAGGCCUGAGGCGUCGGGUAUAGCAUAGUUUAGGGUAGUUUAAAUUAGUUUAGGCUUUCAUUUCAAUACUUUUUUCAUUUUUUGGCCUACAUUAAUUAGGCUAGACAUUAUUCUUUGGAACUUUGUUUGUUUGUGUAUGUAUUUUUUUGAGCUUAUCAUCUCAUAGUGUUAUUAAUCGAUAUAACUCAAUGAAGCAACUAUGGUCG
Molecule: long non-coding RNA, 1439 nt
Filed under: Capsicum annuum
Lineage: Eukaryota; Viridiplantae; Streptophyta; Magnoliopsida; Solanales; Solanaceae
Description: long non-coding RNA (CANN_LNC015263)
Source: RNAcentral